CCCUCUGUAGUUCAGUCGGUAGAACGGCGGGACUGUUAAUCCGUAUGUCACUGGUUCGAGUCCAGUCAGAGGAGCCA
Molecule: transfer RNA, 77 nt
Filed under: Salmonella enterica subsp. salamae
Lineage: Bacteria; Pseudomonadati; Pseudomonadota; Gammaproteobacteria; Enterobacterales; Enterobacteriaceae
Description: tRNA-Asn(gtt)
Rfam family: tRNA
About the family: Transfer RNA (tRNA) molecules are approximately 80 nucleotides in length. Their secondary structure includes four short double-helical elements and three loops (D, anti-codon, and T loops).
Source: RNAcentral